GUUUUUAUAGCUUACUUUAGAGCAUGGCACUGAAGAUGCUAGGGAAAUCUUAGGAUUUGAAAACA
Molecule: transfer RNA, 65 nt
Filed under: Triops cancriformis
Lineage: Eukaryota; Metazoa; Arthropoda; Branchiopoda; Notostraca; Triopsidae
Description: tRNA-Phe
Source: RNAcentral